GUCGAACGCUGGCGGCGUGCUUAACACAUGCAAGUCGAACGGAGUGGCGAACGGGUGAGUAACACGUGGGUGAGCUGCCCUGCACUUCGGGAUAAGCCUGGGAAAAUGGGUCUACUAACGGCUAGUGUGGGCUGGGCGCUGGGCUUAUCAGCUUGUUGGUGGGGUAAUGGCCUACCAAGGCGGCGACGGGUAGCCGGCCUGGGAGGGUGGACGGCCAAAGUGGGACUGAGAGACGGCCCAGACGCGUACGGUAGACAGCAGGGGGGAAUAUGGCACAAGGGGCGGAAGCCUGAUGCAGCGACGCCGCGUGGGGGAAGACGGCCUUCGGGGUGUAAACUCCUUGCGCCAUCGACGCGGUAGAUGGAGAAGAAGCACCGGCUAACUACGUGCCAGCAGCCGCGGUAAUAC
This 408-nucleotide ribosomal RNA is filed under the name uncultured bacterium. Its description in RNAcentral is "partial 16S ribosomal RNA". It matches the Rfam family "Bacterial small subunit ribosomal RNA", at positions 28 to 526 of the family's 1533-position model. The record is from RNAcentral.